This 473-nucleotide ribosomal RNA is filed under the name uncultured bacterium. RNAcentral's name for it is "bacterial SSU rRNA". It matches the Rfam family "Bacterial small subunit ribosomal RNA", at positions 29 to 526 of the family's 1533-position model. The record is from RNAcentral.
AAUGAACGUUGGCGGCGUGGAUUAGGCAUGCAAGUCGUACGGGCCAGCAAUGGCCAGUGGCGAAAGGGAGAGGAAUACGCAGGUAUCUACCUCCGGGUCGGGGAUAGCCACGGGAAACUGUGGGUAAUACCCGAUAACGUCUCCGGACCAAAGGUGUGAUUCCACCUGGAGAGGAGCCUGCGUCCUAUUAGCUAGUUGGUGAGGUAAUGGCUCACCAAGGCUACGAUGGGUACGGGGUGUGAGAGCAUGCCCCCGCUCACUGGGACUGAGACACUGCCCAGACACCUACGGGUGGCUGCAGUCGAGAAUCUUCCGCAAUGGGCGCAAGCCUGACGGAGCGACGCCGCGUGUGGGAUGAAGGCCUUCGGGUUGUAAACCACUGUCGUAGAGGAGGAAGGACCGGUGCAGAGCCGGUUUUGACCUAUUCUAGGAGGAAGGGUGGGCUAAGUUCGUGCCAGCAGCCGCCGUAAAAC